This 84-nucleotide transfer RNA is filed under the name Cyclobacteriaceae bacterium. Its description in RNAcentral is "tRNA-Leu". It matches the Rfam family "tRNA". Rfam says of the family: Transfer RNA (tRNA) molecules are approximately 80 nucleotides in length. Their secondary structure includes four short double-helical elements and three loops (D, anti-codon, and T loops). Further hydrogen bonds mediate the characteristic L-shaped molecular structure. tRNAs have two regions of fundamental functional importance: the anti-codon, which is responsible for specific mRNA codon recognition, and the 3' end, to which the tRNAs corresponding amino acid is attached (by aminoacyl-tRNA synthetases). tRNAs cope with the degeneracy of the genetic code in two manners: having more than one tRNA (with a specific anti-codon) for a particular amino acid; and 'wobble' base-pairing, i.e. permitting non-standard base-pairing at the 3rd anti-codon position. The record is from RNAcentral. Lineage: Bacteria; Pseudomonadati; Bacteroidota; Cytophagia; Cytophagales; Cyclobacteriaceae.
GCGCACGUGGUGAAACCGGUAGACACGCCAGCUUGAGGGGCUGGUGCUCUUACGAGUGUGGAGGUUCGAAUCCUCUCGUGCGCA